AGAGUUUGAUCCUGGCUCAGGACGAACGCUGGCGGCGUGCCUAAUACAUGCAAGUCGAGCGAGCUUACCUAGAUGAUUUUAGUGCUUGCACUAAAUGAAACUAGAUACAAGCGAGCGGCGGACGGGUGAGUAACACGUGGGUAACCUGCCCAAGAGACUGGGAUAACACCUGGAAACAGAUGCUAAUACCGGAUAACAACACUAGACGCAUGUCUAGAGUUUGAAAGAUGGUUCUGCUAUCACUCUUGGAUGGACCUGCGGUGCAUUAGCUAGUUGGUAAGGUAACGGCUUACCAAGGCAAUGAUGCAUAGCCGAGUUGAGAGACUGAUCGGCCACAUUGGGACUGAGACACGGCCCAAACUCCUACGGGAGGCAGCAGUAGGGAAUCUUCCACAAUGGACGAAAGUCUGAUGGAGCAACGCCGCGUGAGUGAAGAAGGGUUUCGGCUCGUAAAGCUCUGUUGGUAGUGAAGAAAGAUAGAGGUAGUAACUGGCCUUUAUUUGACGGUAAUUACUUAGAAAGUCACGGCUAACUACGUGCCAGCAGCCGCGGUAAUACGUAGGUGGCAAGCGUUGUCCGGAUUUAUUGGGCGUAAAGCGAGUGCAGGCGGUUCAAUAAGUCUGAUGUGAAAGCCUUCGGCUCAACCGGAGAAUUGCAUCAGAAACUGUUGAACUUGAGUGCAGAAGAGGAGAAUGGAACUCCAUGUGUAGCGGUGGAAUGCGUAGAUAUAUGGAAGAACACCAGUGGCGAAGGCGGCUCUCUGGUCUGCAACUGACGCUGAGGCUCGAAAGCAUGGGUAGCGAACAGGAUUAGAUACCCUGGUAGUCCAUGCCGUAAACGAUGA
This 844-nucleotide ribosomal RNA is filed under the name uncultured bacterium. RNAcentral's name for it is "bacterial SSU rRNA". It matches the Rfam family "Bacterial small subunit ribosomal RNA", at positions 8 to 812 of the family's 1533-position model. The record is from RNAcentral.